GAUGAAGAACAUUUAAACAGUGAAAAGCUGCAGCUCUCCCUCCACUGGACAGAGAAACAAUGAGAGCAGAGAGACGGAGACAGAGCAGUGAAUGGGUUCUCUCCUCUUGAUGCGCCGCUUGAAACAGUCCCAGGUAAACUGUUGAUAUCCUACUUUCCCACAUCUCUAAAUAGCAGCUGAAUUUUACCAUUUCAUAUUUAAAUAUUCAAAGCAGAGCAGGAACAUGUUUCACAAAGAAACCCUUCUCAAACUGUAAAGAGGAAGAAAAACUAAUAAUUACAUGCAACAAAAUCUAGUUGGGAAAAUAACCAGGAAGAAGUUGAUUCAGUGUCACAUGUUGAGCUGUGACAUCACUGCUUGUAUUUUAUCCCUUACAGUUUCUGCUUACCUUUCUAAUAAUGUAUUACAGAUAGCAAAAGCUGAUUUUCUCUUACAGCUUAAAAUUUAUUGUCUACAGUUUCGAACAAGAAAUCCAGAUAAAGCAGGAAUAACCAGUUCUGUUUCACAUUGAAUUUAGACGAAUUGCUCAUAUCUGUCAAUUGUUUUGUGUUAGUUUCUCCUCACUGUUGGAUUAACGCAAUUAUCAUGUUUCUUUAAUGUAAUUCUGAAGUCUUUGACUCCUCCACUAACAUCUCCAAAGAACAGCAGGAACCAGCUUCUCAAAGAUGAAUGUAUGGAUCUAUGAUACAUCUUUGCUAGAUAAGCUUUAAUUCAUUUAAAGAGCACUUAUGGAAUAGUUGUUUAUGUGCUGUGAGUGGAAAAGCGUGCAGAGAAUAAAAUAUGCAUACAGGAAGAAAAAUUAUAAGGGGGAAAUUUUACUUCCCUAAUCCAAACCAGGAAGUAGUUUUUUCCCCUUGUAGUACCUGCUGGAAGACCAGAGGACAGGAUGUCCUAUCCGCUCCUGUAAAGCCUGUCAGAAAACAGACAUGUGGCAGCCUAAUAUCACUUCUGUUUAAUUGAUUUCGCAUUAAAACAGACAAGGGUGCAAACCAAACUUGUCAUUUUAUUUUAUAACGUCUAUUGAGGAAAAACACGCUGGCGACGGAUAGCAGCAGCCAAUCAAAGGACUGUCAGCCCUCGGUGUAAUCGUGGAUUUGCAGCGAACAUUUUUUACAAGAUAAGAAGAUUGAAGUUCAGACACUUUAUAAGUCUGAGUAGAAAGAUCCAAUCAAAUAUUGCAUUAUGGAGGAGGUAUGUGCGUAAUCGUUAGUAACCACUGUCAUGUACAAAAAAUAUAAAAAAAUAAAUAAAUACUGGUUAGCAUCUCGCCUCAAGGUAUCAUCCCAGAGCCUCCAGUUAGCGUCCCAGACUCAGCCGUUGCGCUGAGGCCUUCGGGUUCUGGGGGUCAUGAUGGACCCCAGGGGGCCCAGAACAGGCAGAGACUCAGGUCAGACCACCUCCAUGGGCUGUGUGUCAUCCGCCGUCACUGACCGAAGGUUCUCCAGGUUGUCCGCCUUCUCUGUCGACGUCGGCUGGACUUUUCACUUCUGCUCUGCUCUUUUCCGUGUCGGGGGUUCCGCCCUCCACAUCAUCACCCUCCGGACCUUUUAACAGGAGGCCGUCGCCAUUUUGGUAGGUUUCCGUACUUUGUUGGGCUUACCCCACUCUGGCCACAUGGUGGUGCACUGGACUGAUUUUGUUUUCGUUUUGAACUUUUUGCCUUCCUUCCAGCGCCCCUCUCUUCACCCCUGGUGUUUUGGCCUCUGGUGGUCGCCUCUGGUUGAUGGGGGUGAGGUGGGGAGGGCUGUCAUGAUCUUAGUUUUGUCGCUGCUCAUUUUGGUUAAUUUGCUCCACCUUUGCGUUCCCUGUUACCCCUUAAUGCUCCAGCUGUUUUCUGUGUCUUGAUUACUUCCCUGUGUAUAUUUAAGUUCACCUGUUCCUCCUUUGCAUCAUCAGAUUCUGUUGUGUUUCCCCAAGUUGACUCUACUUUUAUAUUUUCCCCACACUGUUGUGCUUUUUGGUUCCCUGACCAUUAGAGAUAUGUUUUGGACUCACCUGGUCUUCAUCACUGUUCCAUGGCUUUCCCUUACACAACUAGAGAGUUUUUAUGUGACUUAAAGGAAGAGUUGUUUGUCUACUUGUAUAAUAGUGACUUGAUAGCGGUGGAUUCAAUCGGUGAACCUAUGCAUAGUGCAGGCUAAUUGUAAGCUAAUUACAUGGGCAGCAGAGCAAGAUGAUGAAUCGGCCAAAGUAUCCAGUAUCGACCACUUUCAUGGAUGGACGACGGAUCAAAAACAGAAGAAGAGGCAAACAAUUUGUCAUCCUGGCUAGAGUUUAUGAUGAGGCCACUCUGAAGGUCACUACAAGAUUCAUGCCCAUAUGCAAUGUAAGAAAAUGCAAAAAGUCUGUGUGAAAACCUGAGUCAAGCUGUCGUGUAAAAUCAAGCACUCUGGCCCAGCACACAAACACACUCCUUGACCAAGUGCUAAAGAAUGCAAAUUUGAAUGCCAGAAUGUCACAUGAGAAGUUAAAAGAAAAUGUAAAAGUUUCACUUUGAAGACAAGCGAUAUCAGUUGAGAAUGUGUAAAAAAUAAACAUAAUUUAAUUCCCUUUUGUCUUUUAAUUUGGACUUAUUAGAAAUGACAUAGACUCGUUGCAUGUUGUUUAUAUGGGCACGACGUUUUGAGUGUUACGUUUUUUUAAAUAAACUUUUAAAAAGUC
This is a long non-coding RNA of Xiphophorus maculatus (southern platyfish), 2661 nucleotides long. RefSeq lists it as uncharacterized. Lineage: Eukaryota; Metazoa; Chordata; Actinopteri; Cyprinodontiformes; Poeciliidae. The transcript has 2 exons. The record is from RefSeq and is a predicted model, not a curated record.